CGGGGUAGAGUAACGCGUGAGGAACCUGCCUCAAAGAGGGGGACAACAGUUGGAAACGACUGCUAAUACCGCAUAAGCCCACGGCUCGGCAUCGAGCAGAGGGAAAAGGAGCAAUCCGCUUUGAGAUGGCCUCGCGUCCGAUUAGCUAGUUGGUGAGGUAAUGGCCCACCAAGGCGACGAUCGGUAGCCGGACUGAGAGGUUGAACGGCCACAUUGGGACUGAGACACGGCCCAG
This 235-nucleotide ribosomal RNA is filed under the name uncultured bacterium. RNAcentral describes it as "partial 16S ribosomal RNA". It matches the Rfam family "Bacterial small subunit ribosomal RNA", at positions 104 to 334 of the family's 1533-position model. The record is from RNAcentral.